GGGGGAGUGGUGAAAUGGCAGACACGCAUGCCUUAGGAGCAUGUGCCCAAAAGGCGUGGAGGUUCGAAUCCUCUCUCCCCCACCA
This 85-nucleotide transfer RNA is filed under the name Chloroflexota bacterium. RNAcentral's name for it is "tRNA-Leu". It matches the Rfam family "tRNA". From Rfam's summary of the family: Transfer RNA (tRNA) molecules are approximately 80 nucleotides in length. The record is from RNAcentral. RNAcentral also lists the same sequence under 1 other name. Lineage: Bacteria; Bacillati; Chloroflexota.